RNAcentral lists this unclassified non-coding RNA (376 nucleotides) under Hevea brasiliensis (rubber tree). The record is from RNAcentral. Lineage: Eukaryota; Viridiplantae; Streptophyta; Magnoliopsida; Malpighiales; Euphorbiaceae.
GAUUACAUUGUAGAGAAGGGUAGAUUGCAAGAGGCCGAGGCUCGUCGGUUUUUUCAACAGAUCAUUUCUGGAGUUGAGUACUGCCACAGAAAUAUGAUAGUCCAUCGUGAUCUGAAACCAGAGAACUUGUUGUUGGAUUCAAAAUUAAACAUCAAAAUUGUCGAUUUUGGCUUAAGUAAUAUAAUGCGGGACGGCCAUUUUCUAAAGACUAGCUGUGGGAGCCCAAACUACGCAGCACCUGAGGUGAUAUCUGGUAAACUGUAUGCUGGGCCUGAGGUUGAUGUCUGGAGUUGCGGCGUUAUCCUUUAUGCCCUCCUUUGUGGCACCCUUCCUUUCGAUGAUGAGAAUAUUCCCAAUUUAUUCAAGAAAAUUAAGG